AGACACACUUGUGUUGUGUUUGUACAUGUAUCAGAGUACAUAAAAAAGUAAUGAAAGUUCUAAAGUAUCUCAAAAACUUUUAAUGCUAUGGACCUGAAAUCUUCACAGUCCCUUGAAAUAAUUAUUCUUCUCGACUUUGUCUGCAGGAUUUUAUCAUCCACAGCCACUUCCGGAAGGCACCGUGGUUGUUAGUUGUUAGCUCUAGCUUCCGGUAUGCUUUGCAGCUCUAACUUUACGGCUUUUAAAAAGUUUUAAAUGUGUUCAAACGUUCGUCCAGCAAACUUAUCUUUCGAAAUGGGAAAUAUUCAGAAGCAAAGCCAGGAGUGUAGGCAGGAUGAGGCAAAACUUGGACAACUUACACUUGUAUACACGGAGUUGUGGUGUGACCGUUGAUCUGUGGGAAGAUGCAUUGUUGGGGAAGAGCAUUGCGUGAGAGGUUUCAAUCUUCGAUCUCGGCUCAUCAACAUUAUUAUUCAGCCGGGAUUGUACAUUUUGCACAUAGUAAAAGGAGUCAUAAUCGUAUUAUGUGGCAUGAUACAAACCACAAAAGGAUCCCUGUAAUUGGAAAAGACAUCAAAAGCCUCUUUCUGCUUUGGAAUCCUGGACACAAAACGACAGACCUGUCUCCUUUUAAAAUCUAUUCCCAUACAAUGCAGCCGCUAAGAUGGAAUUCUAAAAAAAGAGGACAUGGACGGCAGAACCACGGCCGUGUCACUUCAGAUGCAUUUCUCACCGUACUGAGAAAGUUUGGAGAAGUUUGGAGAGGAGAACGGUUUAUGAAGUUGAGGAAGCCUGGUUUCAGCAGGAUGGAGUCACACCCCACACACACAGUGUAGCCCUAGCACAGUUGCAAGAAAGGCUUGGGUAACGUCUUUUAAAUCGAAAGCUUACAAAGUAAUUAUUACCGCAUUCUCUCGACUUGAACGCCGUCCAUAUCUCCUGUGGGACUUUUUAACAGACAAAGUGUACGGAAACAACCCACAAAACAAUCAAUACGUGGAAACUCAAUGUUGGACAGGGGGUUUACAGAAUCGACACAGAAACAAGACACAUGGCUAUUCAAAAUUUACAGUUGCGUAACCACGCUCGUUGGAGAGAUAUGGCCAAUACCUGGAGCAUACAAUUAAAGAUCCACCACCUUCCCUGAGUUAA
This is a long non-coding RNA of Aplysia californica (California sea hare), 1152 nucleotides long. RefSeq lists it as uncharacterized. The transcript is spliced from 2 exons. NCBI's taxonomy places the organism in Eukaryota, Metazoa, Mollusca, Gastropoda, Aplysiida, Aplysiidae. The record is from RefSeq and is a predicted model, not a curated record.